UUCUCAAGGCUCUUCAAAGGACUAAAAGCUAAAAGGAUGGAUUCAUUCGACAAGUCCUAGUCCUGCGCCCUGGUGAGUGCCAGACCCUGCUCCCCGCGAGGGGGACCCACGAGCCACCCUCACCACGAUCCCUGCCCUGGUGGAGCCCCCGUGCGGAACACAGGAUCCGAAGAUGGCAGCGGAAGCUCCGCAGCGGCCCCAAAAGCGACUGGGCAGGGAGGGCACAGGCUCCCUCACUGGGUGAAGGCGGCGCGAAGAACGGGAAGAGCCAUCCCGGGAGCCACCGGGCGUUCAGCCUCCCUAGGGCCCCCAGGCGGCUCGGGCCGGGGUCUCAACCGGGACGUUUCCGGGGGGUUUCUGAAGCAGGCGAGGGGCAGGGCGGGCGAAGGCCAUUCGGCUAUCCUUCUGGCUCCAGAAUCUCCCAACGCGCAGGUGUCCAACGUGACCAGCGCGACUUACCGCUCCAAUCUCUCCGGUUUUCCAAGGCCUUGCUCAGUCGUCCUGCCGGGCGGG
This 513-nucleotide long non-coding RNA is filed under the name Homo sapiens (human). RNAcentral describes it as "non-protein coding lnc-PPIAL4F-9:1". The record is from RNAcentral. Lineage: Eukaryota; Metazoa; Chordata; Mammalia; Primates; Hominidae.